Molecule: transfer RNA, 72 nt
Filed under: Ictidomys tridecemlineatus (thirteen-lined ground squirrel)
Lineage: Eukaryota; Metazoa; Chordata; Mammalia; Rodentia; Sciuridae
Description: Spermophilus tridecemlineatus (thirteen-lined ground squirrel) tRNA
Rfam family: tRNA
About the family: Transfer RNA (tRNA) molecules are approximately 80 nucleotides in length.
Source: Rfam by way of RNAcentral
UGUGUUGUAGCUCAGCGGUAGAGCGCUUGCCUAGUACAUGCAGGGCUCUGGGUUCCAUCCUCAGCACCACAC